RNAcentral lists this ribosomal RNA (509 nucleotides) under Rhizophagus fasciculatus. RNAcentral's name for it is "SSU rRNA". It matches the Rfam family "Eukaryotic small subunit ribosomal RNA", at positions 569 to 1078 of the family's 1831-position model. The record is from RNAcentral. Lineage: Eukaryota; Fungi; Glomeromycota; Glomeromycetes; Glomerales; Glomeraceae.
AGCAGCCGCGGUAAUUCCAGCUCCAAUAGAGUAUAUUAAAGUUGUUGCAGUUAAAAAGCUCGUAGUUGAAUUUCGGGGUUAGUAGGUUGUGUCAUGCCUCUGGUAUGUACUGGUCUCACUGAUUCCUCCUUCCUGAUGAACCUUAAUGCCAUUAAUUUGGUGUUUUGGAGAAUUUGGACUGUUACUUUGAAAAAAUUAGAGUGUUUAAAGCAAGCUAACGCUUGAAUACAUNAGCAUGGAAUAAUGAAAUAGGACGUUCGAUCCUAUUUUGUUGGUUUCUAGGAUUGACGUAAUGAUUAAUAGGGAUAGUUGGGGGCAUUAGUAUUCAAUUGUCAGAGGUGAAAUUCUUGGAUUUAUUGAAGACUAACUACUGCGAAAGCAUUUGCCAAGGAUGUUUUCAUUAAUCAAGAACGAAAGUUAGGGGAUCGAAGACGAUCAGAUACCGUCGUAGUCUUAACCAUAAACUAUGCCGACUAGGGAUCGGAUGAUGUUAAUUUUUUAAUGACUCA